AGCAGCCGCGGUAAUUCCAGCUCCAAUAGCGUAUAUUAAAGUUGUUGCAGUUAAAAAGCUCGUAGUUGAAUUUCGGGAUCAAUAUGUUGGUCGUGCCUCGGUACGUACUAGCAUAUUGGUUUCUCCUUUCUGAAGAACCUUGAUGUCAUUAAUUUGGUGUCUUGGGGAAUCAGGACUGUUACUUUGAAAAAUUAGAGUGUUUAAAGCAGGCUCGCGCUUGAAUACAUUAGCAUGGAAUAAUGAAAUAGGACGUCUGAUUCUAUUUUGUUGGUUUCUAGGAUCGACGUAAUGAUUAAUAGGGAUAGUUGGGGGCAUUAGUAUUCAAUUGUCAGAGGUGAAAUUCUUGGAUUUAUUGAAGACUAACUACUGCGAAAGCAUUUGCCAAGGAUGUUUUCAUUAAUCAAGAACGAAAGUUAGGGGAUCGAAGACGAUCAGAUACCGUCGUAGUCUUAACCAUAAACUAUGCC
This 467-nucleotide unclassified non-coding RNA is filed under the name uncultured Glomus. RNAcentral describes it as "SSU rRNA". It matches the Rfam family "Eukaryotic small subunit ribosomal RNA", at positions 569 to 1043 of the family's 1831-position model. The record is from RNAcentral. Lineage: Eukaryota; Fungi; Glomeromycota; Glomeromycetes; Glomerales; Glomeraceae.